CGGGAACUGUGCUGACUAAGCCACUAAACUUGUGAAAAUUUGUUGCAGCAGUCACCGAAAACUAAUACUAAAGGAGAAUCCAUGAGACACUGCCCGAGGAGUAGGCAAGAGCAAGACUCAAGGCUGCCAUUAAAGCAGAAGAUGGAUGAUAGUGCCAGUGAGUGUGCACGACGUUUGGAGCCCAGCCAAUCAGAUCUCACUUUUCCUCUCUGGAAGCCAGCAAACAAGUCUCUGAGCCUCUCUGAGCUUCAGGAUUCUCACAGCUAACUUGCAAGUUGUGAGGGUAAAGUGACGUUAGCACAGGAUGGAGCUCUGAGUGGCAUUCUGGCUUUAGUGUCUGUGUCCCCAGUUCAUGUGAUGUUCCAGUUCGUCAUGUUAAGCACCAUGUAGGACUUAUGCCUGUGCUGCUGCUGCUACCAUCCAGCGUUCUAGUCCAUGCUCUGCUGAGCAGCUUAAACGUCUGCAUGUGCCUGGCAUGACUUUAAUAGCAGCCUGCUCUGUGGCUCUGAG
Molecule: long non-coding RNA, 510 nt
Filed under: Chinchilla lanigera (long-tailed chinchilla)
Lineage: Eukaryota; Metazoa; Chordata; Mammalia; Rodentia; Chinchillidae
Description: lncRNA (ENSCLAG00000026450.1)
Source: RNAcentral